CCUGUUUUAAUACUUUUUUAAGGUUAACUUUUCCUUCCAUAGGUUCCUGUAUUAUUUCUUGUAGAAAAGGAAUAGUUUAUUUAUAUUAUCAUUUUAUGAGAUCUUUUGAUUUAGUUAAUAUGUAUGUUUAUCUUAAUCUCUUGGUCAUUUAAAUAUAUUACAAAUUUCCUAAAUUGUGUAUGUGCGUAUAUCCUUUAAAUCUAUAGAUCGCCUCCCCACGUUUUUGUAUAUACAUAUUCAUUUUUAGGCAUUAAUUUAUUUAAUAAAUUAAGUAGCAGAUUCUUUGCAGGUAUUGCGCUCCAAACUUCUGUUAGAGCUUCUAAUGAUAUUACUCUAACAUCAUCACAUCCAUCAUCAAGUCUUUUCAAAAGUAUUGGAUAUAUUUUAUAAUUAUCAUCUGCAAGACUAAUUAAAACAGGAAUUAUUUGAUCAAAUAUUAAACAAAUAUUUUCUUCAUCAUGAUUUGUAAUUCUCUCCAUAACAGAGUCUUUUUCAUAUUUAUUUAAAAACGAACAUAAACA
Molecule: long non-coding RNA, 521 nt
Organism: Bombus pyrosoma
Lineage: Eukaryota; Metazoa; Arthropoda; Insecta; Hymenoptera; Apidae
Exons: 3
Source: RefSeq, a predicted model, not a curated record